Molecule: ribosomal RNA, 207 nt
Filed under: uncultured bacterium
Lineage: Bacteria
Description: partial 16S ribosomal RNA
Rfam family: Bacterial small subunit ribosomal RNA
Source: RNAcentral
UGCGUAGGCGGGUCUUUAAGUCAGGGGUGAAAUCCUGGAGCUCAACUCCAGAACUGCCUUUGAUACUGAAGAUCUUGAGUUCGGGAGAGGUGAGUGGAACUGCGAGUGUAGAGGUGAAAUUCGUAGAUAUUCGCAAGAACACCAGUGGCGAAGGCGGCUCACUGGCCCGAUACUGACGCUGAGGCACGAAAGCGUGGGGAGCAAACA